UCGACAUCCCCUUUGCUCUUCCUCUUAUUUGUUCCGUUUCACGUCUGAUUCUCCAGUGCUGCCAUGAUCACGGAGUCAACUUCUUCGACAACGCCGAGGUUUACGCCAAUGGCCGAGCUGAGAAGAUCAUGGGUCUGGCGAUUCGCGAGCUGGACUGGCGGAGAUCCGACAUCGUGGUCUCCACCAAGAUCUUCUGGGGUGGUCCUGGUCCUAACGAUAAGGUUUCUCGAGGAAACAUAUCAUCGAAGGAACCAAAGCUUCUCUCAAAAGACUCGAUAUGGACUAUGUAGAUGUCCUCUAUUGCCACAGCUUCAACAGUUUCGUCAAAAGAAGGCUGACAAAAACACUGAUCAUAAAAAGGACCCCAAGGGCAGUACAAGCCAAGGAAAUCCUCCAAAAAAUCUGGUAAGAAGCAUGAGCCUAAACCUGACACUGGUGGUGUCAGUGACGAGGCAGAAGCUCCGUCUGAUGUGGCUGUAGGAGGAGCUUCAUCUCAUGUGAAUAUUGGUGAGGAGGUUGUUGAUCCUCCACCGACUUCUGUAAAUGCAGCAGCUAACAGUGAUGUUUCAGUUGACACGCUUCAGCCAGGAAACACCACAGCAACUUCUGAUAGUGGAGAUGAACCGAGAAAAGAAGUUGCGAAUUCCGAAAAUGAUAUCAGCGUAGCAUUGUCCACGGAAGAAGAGAAUGUGAAGAGUAUCGACAUUGGAGCGGCUGGCGCAGUAGAUUCUUUGACGUCUGACCUUGCAGAUACCGAGAAGGGAGUUACACAUGACGAUGCAGAGGAGUCCCUUCUGGCCGUACGAUCUGAGUUACAAAAGAGAUCUAAUGAACUUGAACAAUCAGAACAGAGGUUAUUAUCUACUAGAGAGAAGCUUAGCAUAGCUGUUGUCACGUGUUAGCUCUGUUUGUUCUCAUAUGCAUUUUAAGACUCAGAGACAGAGAGAGCAUUAUCUGUUGUGUUUUAGUUUUUGUUGUUUCCACUUUUUAAAAACAAGUAUAAUGUUUUUGAAACUUAAAAGUUGGCUUUUAUAGUUGUUGUCAAGAGGUCAGUAGUAAUGUAGUAUAUUGAAAAGCUCAUUUAAACGA
Long non-coding RNA from Brassica napus (rape), 1089 nucleotides. RefSeq lists it as uncharacterized. The record is from RefSeq and is a predicted model, not a curated record. NCBI's taxonomy places the organism in Eukaryota, Viridiplantae, Streptophyta, Magnoliopsida, Brassicales, Brassicaceae. The transcript is spliced from 2 exons.